UGGGAAGCCGAGGAGUAAAUGGCUCUAACUCCGUUUAAAUGCAAAUUCUACUGGUAAUUAAGAGGCGAACCACAGUAAGAACACUACAGGAGAUAUAUAGUCACUGGAAAGCACCUACUCUCCUAAUGAAGACUACAAGUGAAGGGGACCAAGGGGACCAUGUCUGCAGACAGUGCUGCUCCAUGAAGGCGCACAAGCUGGAGAGCAACCUGGUAAAAUGAGGAGGAACCCAGAAAAAGCAACACCUGAGUCCCAGGUCUGCCAUGCAGACAUCUGUGGCAGGAGAAGAGGCUGGACAUGGUUCCAAAAAGCUUCACAACAUGUCAAGCAGAUGCUCAGCAUUCUUCCUGAGCACCUCAGUGUCAUGCCAGGUUCUUGGCCAUUCCUGCUGGGAUGAUAAAGAGUUUUAUAGACCUUCAAAAACACAGA
RNAcentral lists this long non-coding RNA (429 nucleotides) under Fukomys damarensis (Damara mole-rat). RNAcentral describes it as "lncRNA (ENSFDAG00000021964.1)". The record is from RNAcentral. Lineage: Eukaryota; Metazoa; Chordata; Mammalia; Rodentia; Bathyergidae.